Molecule: long non-coding RNA, 1458 nt
Filed under: Phasianus colchicus (ring-necked pheasant)
Lineage: Eukaryota; Metazoa; Chordata; Aves; Galliformes; Phasianidae
Description: lncRNA (ENSPCLG00000016937.1)
Source: RNAcentral
GAAUCUGUGGGAUUUUGGGGCCUUUUUGGGGUUGUUUAAGGAUUCGAGGGGUUUUGGGGCCAUUUGGGGAUUGUUUUGGGGUGAAUCUGUGGGAUUUUGGGGCCGUUUUGUGUCAUUUGGGGGCCAUUUUGGGGUCAUUUGGGGCCAUUUUGGGAUCCAGGAGAUUUUGGGGCCAUUUUGGGGUCAUUUGGGGCCAUUUCGGGGUCCGAGAGAUUUUGGGGUAAAUUUGUGUCAUUUUGGGGCCAUUUGGGGUCAUUUUGGGAUCCGGGAGAUUUUGGGGUGGAUUUGUGGGAUUUUGGGGCUGUUUUGAGUCAUUUGGGGUCUAUUUUGGGGUCAUUUUGGGGUCAUUUGGGACCAUUUUGGGAUCUGAGAGAUUUUGGGGUGAAUUUGUGGGAUUUUGGGGUCUUUUUGGGGCCAUUCUGGGAUCCAAGAGAUUUUGGGGUGAAUUUAUGGGAUUUUGGGGCUGUUUUGUGUCGUUUUGGGGCCUUUUGGGACCAUUUUGGGACCUGGGGGUUUUGGGGUCAUUUUUGUAUCACUUUGGGAUCAUUUUCGUGUCAUUUUGGGGUGAAUUUGUGGGAUUUUGGGGCCAUUUUGGGACCAUUUUGGGAUCUGAGGGAUUUUGGGGUGAAUUUGUGUCAUUUUGGGGUCAUUUGGGGCCAUUUUGGGAUCCGAGAGAUUUUGGGGUGAAAUUGUGGGAUUUUGGGGCUGUUUUGUGUCGUUUUGGGGUCAUUUUGGGAUCCAGGAGAUUUUGGGGUGAAAUUGUGGGAUUUUGGGGUCAUUUUGUGUCGUUUUGGGGUCAUUUUGGGGCCAUUUUGGGGUCAUUUGGGGCCAUUUUGGGAUCCGGGAGAUUUUGGGGUGAAUUUGUGUCAUUUUGGGGCCAUUUGGGGUCAUUUUGGGGUCAUUCUGGGUCUAUUUUGGGGCCAUUUGGGGCAAUUUUGGGAUCCAAUGGAUUUUGGGGUAAAUUUGUGGGAUUUUGGGGUCAUUUUGGGGUCAUUUUGGGAUCCGAGAGAUUUCGGGGUGAAUUUAUGGGAUUUUGGGGCCGUUUUGUGCCAUUUUGGGGUCAUUUGGGGCCAUUUUGGGAUCCGGGAGAUUUUGGGGUGAAUUUGUGGGAUUUUGGGGUCGUUUUGGGGUCCUUUUGUGAUCUGAGGGGUUUUGGGGUGAAUCUGUGGGAUUUUGGGUCCCCCCGCAGGCGCAGCCCGGACCUUCGAAGCCACCAACGGAAGCUCCGCCCCCUCAGGUGCCGUUUUGGGGCUAAAAAAGGCCGUUUUGGGGCCGGAAGUUUUUUGGGGUAAAAAAAGGCGAUUUUAGGGGGGGUUCUGACCUUUGACCUGUGACCUUUGACCCCGCAGCCGCCGCCGGAGGAGCAGAGCAAGGAGCCCAAAAAGGAGAGCGGGGGGAGCAGCAGGUGGGGAUUGGGGGGAAAGUGGGCGAUUUUGGGGAAAAACGGGGCAAAAAAGG